GACGAACGCUGGCGGCGUGCUUAACACAUGCAAGUCGAACGGAAAGGCCCUGCUUUUGUGGGGUGCUCGAGUGGCGAACGGGUGAGUAACACGUGAGUAACCUGCCCUUGACUUUGGGAUAACUUCAGGAAACUGGGGCUAAUACCGGAUAGGAGCUCCUGCUGCAUGGUGGGGGUUGGAAAGUUUCGGCGGUUGGGGAUGGACUCGCGGCUUAUCAGCUUGUUGGUGGGGUAGUGGCUUACCAAGGCUUUGACGGGUAGCCGGCCUGAGAGGGUGACCGGCCACAUUGGGACUGAGAUACGGCCCAGACCCCUACGGGGGGGAGAGGUGGGGAAUUUUGCAAAAGGGGCGGAAGCCGGAUGGAGCAACGCCGGGGGGGGGAUGACGGCCUUGGGGUGGUAAACCGCUUUCGCCUGGGCCGAAGCGUGGGUGACGGUAAUGGGUAAAGAAGCACCGGCUAACUACGU
RNAcentral lists this ribosomal RNA (467 nucleotides) under uncultured bacterium. RNAcentral's name for it is "partial 16S ribosomal RNA". It matches the Rfam family "Bacterial small subunit ribosomal RNA", at positions 28 to 506 of the family's 1533-position model. The record is from RNAcentral.